This 484-nucleotide long non-coding RNA is filed under the name Ictidomys tridecemlineatus (thirteen-lined ground squirrel). RNAcentral's name for it is "lncRNA (ENSSTOG00000034645.1)". Lineage: Eukaryota; Metazoa; Chordata; Mammalia; Rodentia; Sciuridae. The record is from RNAcentral.
GGGGAUUCCAAGAGGCUGCUGGAAGUGAAAGAGCACGGACCUGCGCAUCGGCCGUCCAGAGACCUUUGCUCUGGACCAGUCGGGAUCUCUCACCACCACAUCGUCUUGUUACCCGAGGGGACAAUCCGGCUGACCUCCUAUGACCAUGGCUAGGAUUUAGAUGGCAUUCACUAGUCACAGAGAGCCUUUCAGAUGCCAGGAACUGCUGGGGACCCACACAAAGCCACGAAUCAGAUAAGGCUCCGCUCACAGAGGUCGCAGCGGAGCUUGGGGUGGAAAGGCCACCGCUACAGUGACCGUCCGGCUCAGUCCUGUCUACCGGUCCCACCGAGUCAAAAGCACAAGACCAAAUCAGCCAUGCCGAAGGCACUGCGGAAGAAUCUGUGGUGGAAACGUUGCUGUCCAGUAGAGUGGAUGCUGCCAGGAAGCGGCCUGCAAGGGCCUGGGGGAGACCGGCGGCAGUUUUGCGUCCCAGGAUUCUAUC